Molecule: non-coding RNA, 71 nt
Organism: Candidatus Lloydbacteria bacterium
Lineage: Bacteria; Candidatus Lloydiibacteriota
Source: Rfam
GCGGGAUUAGUUAAAUGGUAUAACUCCAGUUUUCCAAACUGGUGUCGGGAGUUCGAUUCUCCCAUCCCGCA